GGGUGCUCGAGUGGCGAACGGGUGAGUAACACGUGAGUAACCUGCCCUUGACUUUGGGAUAACUUCAGGAAACUGGGGCUAAUACCGGAUAGGAGCUCCUGCUGCAUGGUGGGGGUUGGAAAGUUUCGGCGGUUGGGGAUGGACUCGCGGCUUAUCAGCUUGUUGGUGGGGUAGUGGCUUACCAAGGCUUUGACGGGUAGCCGGCCUGAGAGGGUGACCGGCCACAUUGGGACUGGGAUACGGCCCAG
RNAcentral lists this ribosomal RNA (248 nucleotides) under uncultured Actinomycetales bacterium. RNAcentral's name for it is "partial 16S ribosomal RNA". It matches the Rfam family "Bacterial small subunit ribosomal RNA", at positions 85 to 334 of the family's 1533-position model. The record is from RNAcentral. Lineage: Bacteria; Bacillati; Actinomycetota; Actinomycetes; Actinomycetales.